This 114-nucleotide ribosomal RNA is filed under the name Sinocyclocheilus anshuiensis. The record is from RNAcentral. Lineage: Eukaryota; Metazoa; Chordata; Actinopteri; Cypriniformes; Cyprinidae.
UCUCAUCAUAUCACCCUGUAGCCCAAGCCUGGUUGCCCACUGAAGCUAAGCAGGGCUGAGCCUGGUCAGUACCUGGAUGGGAGACCUCCUGGGAAAACUAGGUUGCUGCUGGAA